Molecule: transfer RNA, 72 nt
Filed under: Lepisosteus oculatus (spotted gar)
Lineage: Eukaryota; Metazoa; Chordata; Actinopteri; Semionotiformes; Lepisosteidae
Rfam family: tRNA
About the family: Transfer RNA (tRNA) molecules are approximately 80 nucleotides in length. Their secondary structure includes four short double-helical elements and three loops (D, anti-codon, and T loops).
Source: Rfam by way of RNAcentral
CCCCGACUAGUUCUGUUGGUUGAGCAUGAGACUCUAAUCUCAGGGUAGUGGGUUCGCGUCCCUUGUCGGGUG